Non-coding RNA from Drosophila virilis, 269 nucleotides. The record is from RefSeq and is a predicted model, not a curated record. NCBI's taxonomy places the organism in Eukaryota, Metazoa, Arthropoda, Insecta, Diptera, Drosophilidae.
UGUUUGUGGAAUAUUGUAAAAUCAAAUCGCAGUGACUAAGCUGCCUGGGUGAUGCAUUAUCAACUUAAAAGAAAAAUAAUUUGAGAGACUAGCCUUGCCGUGGAACGUUUUGAGCUACAAAUUUUAGAUAUUACCUUCCUUCAUCGAAUAAAGAACCAAAUGUAAGAGGUUUCCGCCCUUCUAAGUCUUGCGGUUCCAUCCAAUAACGGUGAACUUUGCCCUCUUCUUUGCCGGUUUCUGAUAAAGAUCUCUGAGUUUGGAAUCGAUAG